This 402-nucleotide ribosomal RNA is filed under the name uncultured Devosia sp. Its description in RNAcentral is "bacterial SSU rRNA". It matches the Rfam family "Bacterial small subunit ribosomal RNA", at positions 355 to 774 of the family's 1533-position model. Lineage: Bacteria; Pseudomonadati; Pseudomonadota; Alphaproteobacteria; Hyphomicrobiales; Devosiaceae. The record is from RNAcentral.
UGGGGAAUAUUGGACAAUGGGCGCAAGCCUGAUCCAGCCAUGCCGCGUGAGUGAUGAAGGCCUUAGGGUUGUAAAGCUCUUUCAGUAGGGAAGAUAAUGACGGUACCUACAGAAGAAGCCCCGGCUAACUUCGUGCCAGCAGCCGCGGUAAUACGAAGGGGGCUAGCGUUGUUCGGAUUUACUGGGCGUAAAGCGCACGUAGGCGGAUCGUUAAGUCAGGGGUGAAAUCCUGGAGCUCAACUCCAGAACUGCCUUUGAUACUGGCGAUCUAGAGUCCGGAAGAGGUGAGUGGAACUCCUAGUGUAGAGGUGGAAUUCGUAGAUAUUCGGAAGAACACCAGUGGCGAAGGCGGCUCACUGGACGACUGUUGACGCUGAGGUACGAAAGCGUGGGGAGCAAACA